Long non-coding RNA from Oncorhynchus tshawytscha (Chinook salmon), 444 nucleotides. The record is from Ensembl. NCBI's taxonomy places the organism in Eukaryota, Metazoa, Chordata, Actinopteri, Salmoniformes, Salmonidae.
CUUCUCAGUCAUGUUGACACUGGUCCACUACCAGGUCAUGUGUCUUCUCAGUCAUGUUGACACUGGUCUACUACCAGGUCAUGUGUCUUCUCAGUCAUGUUGACACUGGUCUACUACCAGGUAAUGUGUCUUCUCAGUCAUGUUGACACUGGUCUACUACCAGAUCAUGUGUCUUCUCAGUCAUGUUGACACUGGUCCACUACCAGGUCAUGUGUCUUCUCAGUCAGGUUGAGACUGGUCUACUACCAGGUCAUGUGUCUUCUCAGUCAUGUUGACACUGGUCUACUACCACGUCAUGUGUCUUCUCAGUCAUGUUGACACUGGUCUACUACCAGAUCAUGUGUCUUCUCAGUCAUGUUGACACUGGUCCACUACCAGGUCAUGUGUCUCCUCAGUCAUGUUGACACUGGUCCACUACCAGGUCAUGUGUCUUCUCAGUCAUGU